GAAGGCGCCAGGCUCGGCAGGAUCAAAAAGGAAGCUACCUCAGGGAGAAUAGGCAAUAGUUAACUCUACUUAACCAACUGUGCUCAAAAAGUUGAAUGUCUCGUGCAUGGCUGGAAGGGGAACAUUCUCACAGUCUGCUACAGAAGGGGCUGGUGGGUCAGACUGCUUCAAUUACCCUGAUAGGAUACAUGUGGCCGCUAUCAGCUCUGGCAUCUUCCCUCGAUGGGGCUUCAAUUGACUGGCUUUUCGAGAAAAACAGCCCACUCCUCUCAGAUACUGGAACUGCAUGCUGCAACCUUGCGAUUCUGAUGCCCUGAUGAAGUCCUGAAUCCUCUGUGUUCUGGCUGACAUCGAUGCAACAUUUUUGUUGGGGGCGAGACUGCAUAUGGGUGGUUGAAGAUUGAAUUAAAAGCCAAUUUUAUACUGUAAAUCAGACGUGGUUACAUGUGUUACAUAAUCUAUGUAUAUGCUUAUUAACAUUUGUGUAGUAAAGGCAGCUGCGCCAGAGCCUCUUCAAAUAACGGGGUGAGGGUGUAGUAAUCGAUAUGCAUUGCAGUUACCUGAGUUUAGAAAUUACUGAAACCUCUCUUUCACUCUCUCUCUCUCUCUCUCUCUCUCUCUCUCUCUCUCUCUCUCUCUCUCUCUCUCUCUCACGAAAUGUUUCAGUAUCUAUAUAUACAUUCUAUAUAAA
Polyodon spathula (Mississippi paddlefish) is the source of this 691-nucleotide long non-coding RNA. RefSeq lists it as uncharacterized. The transcript has 3 exons. The record is from RefSeq and is a predicted model, not a curated record. NCBI's taxonomy places the organism in Eukaryota, Metazoa, Chordata, Actinopteri, Acipenseriformes, Polyodontidae.